UGGGGAAUUUUGGACAAUGGGCGAAAGCCUGAUCCAGCAAUGCCGCGUGUGUGAAGAAGGCCUUCGGGUUGUAAAGCACUUUUGUCCGGAAAGAAAAUCCUUGGCUCUAAUACAGUCGGGGGAUGACGGUACCGGAAGAAUAAGCACCGGCUAACUACGUGCCAGCAGCCGCGGUAAUACGUAGGGUGCAAGCGUUAAUCGGAAUUACUGGGCGUAAAGCGUGCGCAGGCGGUUUGCUAAGACCGAUGUGAAAUCCCCGGGCUCAACCUGGGAACUGCAUUGGUGACUGGCAGGCUAGAGUAUGGCAGAGGGGGGUAGAAUUCCACGUGUAGCAGUGAAAUGCGUAGAGAUGUGGAGGAAUACCGAUGGCGAAGGCAGCCCCUGGGCCAAUACUGACGCUCAUGCACGAAAGCGUGGGGAGCAAACAGGAUUAGAUACCCUGGUAGUCCACGCCCUAAACGAUGUCAACUAGUUGUUGGGGAUUCAUUUCCUUAGUAACGUAGCUAACGCGUGAAGUUGACCGCCUGGGGAGUACGGUCGCAAGAUUAAAACUCAAAGGAAUUGACGGGGUCAUAGCUGUUUCCU
This 585-nucleotide ribosomal RNA is filed under the name uncultured bacterium. Its description in RNAcentral is "partial 16S ribosomal RNA". It matches the Rfam family "Bacterial small subunit ribosomal RNA", at positions 355 to 1375 of the family's 1533-position model. The record is from RNAcentral.